Molecule: long non-coding RNA, 1812 nt
Organism: Pan troglodytes (chimpanzee)
Lineage: Eukaryota; Metazoa; Chordata; Mammalia; Primates; Hominidae
Exons: 3
Source: RefSeq, a predicted model, not a curated record
GGGAAAGACACAGCCCACGCCUUUCAAUUUUCAUUUAGAAUCCAAUUUUAUUUAAAGAAGUAAUUAUGGCCAGGUGCAGCGGCUCACAUCUGUAAUCCCAGCGCUUUGGGAGGCUGAGGUGGGCGCAUCAAGAGGUCAGGAGAUCGAGACCAUCCUGGCUAACAUGGUGAAACCCCCGUCUUUACUAAAAAUACAAAAAAAUUAGCCGAGCAUGGUGGCGGGCGCCUGUAGUCCCAGCUACUCAGGAAGCUGAGGCAGGAGAAUGGCAUGAACCCGGGAGGCGGAGCUUUCAGUGAACCGAGAUCACACCACUGCACUCCAGCCUGGGUGACAGAGCGAGACUCCAUCUCAAAAAAAAAAAAAAAAAAAAAAAAAAAAAAAAAAAAAAAAAAAAAAGAAGCAAUUACGAAAAUAAGAAAACAACCCCCUGCCCUCAGAGCCAUAACCAUGUGAUUCUUCACAUUCAAACUUCCUCUAGUAUCUUCUAUAUCUAGAAAGUUUCCAAGACUUAAAAGGAGGGUUGAUUUAAAAAAAUAGUAUCUGGGAACUUCUCUGAAAAUCGUAAUAAAAAUGCACAGCCCUCCACUCUUCCUAACAAUCAACAGCGGUCAUAUCAGGAAAAGUGAUUUGAGGACAGUGAACCCACUUCCCAGAGAAACAAACCAUGACUGGUAAAACGAAUUUUUAAAAAGUGUGCUUUAAAGUCUUUGGAAACAUCCUACAGGAAUAUAGCAACUGAAAAGUGUCUCCUCAGGAAAGUCUACCAGGUCUCUGUAGAGCUAAGAAGGGCGUGUGGACCUCCCAGCCCUGCUCAGCAGGACACAGCUCCACUCUGGGCGGCCGCAGGGUCAGGAGGAGGCUCCCUCUCCUCAUGGUCUUUCGGGUCCUGGUGAUUUUCUGGGAGGAGCAGGGCACCAGCUUCCUUACUCCCCCUGGCUGGAUGUCCCUGAGCUAAGUCCCAGGCGACUUCCAUCGCAGGAUGCAGCUCUUUCCCUCAGCCAGCCCCGCUUUGUAGGGCAGAAGCUCCUCCCAGGCUGAGGGCUGAGCUUCCUAGGCAGGUGGCCCUGACCCAGCUUGCUGGUGGGUUUCACACUGAUAGCAGCAAGCCCAGAAGACCAGAGAUGGCUUUGACACCAGGCACCCAGCUUUUGAGGCAGGGCACCCCUGACAGACAGUCCCCCUUGUCUUCACCCCAUCCCAGAUCCAAGUCAGUGGUUCAGAUUUUGCCCAGGGAGAGGCAGGCAGUAAGAACCGAGGCUCCAGAACUCUCUGGGAGAGCUGACUGUAUUUAGAACAGACAGUUGGAACGUUCAGGCCGGGCAGCAUUCCCCAUCACAAUGGAGAUGGUGGUGGCGAGCAAUUAGGAGGGCACAGAGAACUCUGUGACAGCAGCAAUGUCACCUUCAGGCCAGCUAAUUCGCAAGGAGAACACGCUCUGUCAAUCACCCUGCGUAAGCUCUGCCCUGCGUCCUGUUUUCUGAGUGUUAGAGGCACCGCAGGACCACUGGAUUCCUGGUGCUGCUGUGAUUUGCAACCACACGGAGCCUGUUGACAUCCUCCACAUCCUCUCCUUUCUCAGCUUAGGAGAGUCUCUCUCUGGGUCUUCUGAACUCAAUGUUACGAAUGAGGACUAUAAAAUGGAAGGAACGGGGGCAAUAAUCUCAUGAAAGUUAUCAUCGGGAAUCCGAGUGCUGUUAUGGAUGGUACAAGUGGCCAACCUUUACAGUAAAAUAUUCCUGUUCUUGAAAAUAAAUGUUAAGGAGUCUGCUUGAAAUACUAAUUAUAUUACUUAAUAAACAGUCUUUUAAAUAA